Zostera marina is the source of this 73-nucleotide transfer RNA. It matches the Rfam family "tRNA". Rfam says of the family: Transfer RNA (tRNA) molecules are approximately 80 nucleotides in length. Their secondary structure includes four short double-helical elements and three loops (D, anti-codon, and T loops). Further hydrogen bonds mediate the characteristic L-shaped molecular structure. tRNAs have two regions of fundamental functional importance: the anti-codon, which is responsible for specific mRNA codon recognition, and the 3' end, to which the tRNAs corresponding amino acid is attached (by aminoacyl-tRNA synthetases). tRNAs cope with the degeneracy of the genetic code in two manners: having more than one tRNA (with a specific anti-codon) for a particular amino acid; and 'wobble' base-pairing, i.e. permitting non-standard base-pairing at the 3rd anti-codon position. NCBI's taxonomy places the organism in Eukaryota, Viridiplantae, Streptophyta, Magnoliopsida, Alismatales, Zosteraceae. The record is from Rfam.
GGGGAUGUAGCUCAAAUGUUAGAGUGUUCGUUUAGCAUGUGAGAGGUCACGGGUUCGAUACCCCACUUCUCCA